GCAUUGCUGUGGAGUCCCACAAUAGGACGAAAUGGCCGUCUAGUGC
Molecule: non-coding RNA, 46 nt
Organism: Schistosoma curassoni
Lineage: Eukaryota; Metazoa; Platyhelminthes; Trematoda; Strigeidida; Schistosomatidae
Source: Rfam